Molecule: ribosomal RNA, 228 nt
Filed under: uncultured bacterium
Lineage: Bacteria
Description: partial 16S ribosomal RNA
Rfam family: Bacterial small subunit ribosomal RNA
Source: RNAcentral
UGCGUAGGCGGCGCUAUAAGUCAGAGGUGAAAGGCCACAGCUUAACUGUGGGACUGCCUUUGAUACUGUAGUGCUUGAAUUAGGUUGAGGUCGGCGGAAUGUGACAUGUAGCGGUGAAAUGCUUAGGUAUGUCAUAGAACACCAAUUGCGAAGGCAGCUGACUAGACCUUAAUUGACGCUGAGGCACGAAAGCGUGGGGAGCGAACAGGAUUAGAUACCCUGGUAGUC